Molecule: ribosomal RNA, 2902 nt
Filed under: Klebsiella pneumoniae
Lineage: Bacteria; Pseudomonadati; Pseudomonadota; Gammaproteobacteria; Enterobacterales; Enterobacteriaceae
Description: 23S ribosomal RNA
Rfam family: Bacterial large subunit ribosomal RNA
Source: RNAcentral
GGUUAAGCGACUAAGCGUACACGGUGGAUGCCCUGGCAGUCAGAGGCGAUGAAGGACGUGCUAAUCUGCGAAAAGCGUCGGUAAGGUGAUAUGAACCGUUAUAACCGGCGAUGUCCGAAUGGGGAAACCCAGUGCAAUUCGUUGCACUAUCGUUAACUGAAUACAUAGGUUAACGAGGCGAACCGGGGGAACUGAAACAUCUAAGUACCCCGAGGAAAAGAAAUCAACCGAGAUUCCCCCAGUAGCGGCGAGCGAACGGGGAGCAGCCCAGAGUCUGAAUCAGCUUGUGUGUUAGUGGAACGGUCUGGAAAGUCCGACGGUACAGGGUGAUAGUCCCGUACACCAAAAUGCACAGGUUGUGAACUCGAAGAGUAGGGCGGGACACGUGGUAUCCUGUCUGAAUAUGGGGGGACCAUCCUCCAAGGCUAAAUACUCCUGACUGACCGAUAGUGAACCAGUACCGUGAGGGAAAGGCGAAAAGAACCCCGGCGAGGGGAGUGAAAAAGAACCUGAAACCGUGUACGUACAAGCAGUGGGAGCACCUUCGGGUGUGACUGCGUACCUUUUGUAUAAUGGGUCAGCGACUUAUAUUCUGUAGCAAGGUUAACCGUAUAGGGGAGCCGCAGGGAAACCGAGUCUUAACUGGGCGUUAAGUUGCAGGGUAUAGACCCGAAACCCGGUGAUCUAGCCAUGGGCAGGUUGAAGGUUGGGUAACACUAACUGGAGGACCGAACCGACUAAUGUUGAAAAAUUAGCGGAUGACUUGUGGCUGGGGGUGAAAGGCCAAUCAAACCGGGAGAUAGCUGGUUCUCCCCGAAAGCUAUUUAGGUAGCGCCUCGUGAACUCAUCUUCGGGGGUAGAGCACUGUUUCGGCUAGGGGGUCAUCCCGACUUACCAACCCGAUGCAAACUACGAAUACCGAAGAAUGUUAUCACGGGAGACACACGGCGGGUGCUAACGUCCGUCGUGAAGAGGGAAACAACCCAGACCGCCAGCUAAGGUCCCAAAGUCAUGGUUAAGUGGGAAACGAUGUGGGAAGGCACAGACAGCCAGGAUGUUGGCUUAGAAGCAGCCAUCAUUUAAAGAAAGCGUAAUAGCUCACUGGUCGAGUCGGCCUGCGCGGAAGAUGUAACGGGGCUAAACCAUGCACCGAAGCUGCGGCAGCGACACUAUGUGUUGUUGGGUAGGGGAGCGUUCUGUAAGCCUGCGAAGGUGACCUGUGAGGGUUGCUGGAGGUAUCAGAAGUGCGAAUGCUGACAUAAGUAACGAUAAAGCGGGUGAAAAGCCCGCUCGCCGGAAGACCAAGGGUUCCUGUCCAACGUUAAUCGGGGCAGGGUGAGUCGACCCCUAAGGCGAGGCCGAAAGGCGUAGUCGAUGGGAAACAGGUUAAUAUUCCUGUACUUGGUGUUACUGCGAAGGGGGGACGGAGAAGGCUAUGUUAGCCGGGCGACGGUUGUCCCGGUUUAAGCAUGUAGGCUGGUUGUCCAGGCAAAUCCGGAUAAUCAAGGCUGAGGUGUGAUGACGAGGCACUACGGUGCUGAAGUAACAAAUGCCCUGCUUCCAGGAAAAGCCUCUAAGCAUCAGGUAGCAUCAAAUCGUACCCCAAACCGACACAGGUGGUCAGGUAGAGAAUACCAAGGCGCUUGAGAGAACUCGGGUGAAGGAACUAGGCAAAAUGGUGCCGUAACUUCGGGAGAAGGCACGCUGGUGUGUAGGUGAAGUCCCUGCGGAUGGAGCUGAGACCAGUCGAAGAUACCAGCUGGCUGCAACUGUUUAUUAAAAACACAGCACUGUGCAAACACGAAAGUGGACGUAUACGGUGUGACGCCUGCCCGGUGCCGGAAGGUUAAUUGAUGGGGUUAUCCGUAAGGAGAAGCUCUUGAUCGAAGCCCCGGUAAACGGCGGCCGUAACUAUAACGGUCCUAAGGUAGCGAAAUUCCUUGUCGGGUAAGUUCCGACCUGCACGAAUGGCGUAAUGAUGGCCAGGCUGUCUCCACCCGAGACUCAGUGAAAUUGAACUCGCUGUGAAGAUGCAGUGUACCCGCGGCAAGACGGAAAGACCCCGUGAACCUUUACUAUAGCUUGACACUGAACAUUGAGCCUUGAUGUGUAGGAUAGGUGGGAGGCUUUGAAGCGUGGACGCCAGUCUGCGUGGAGCCAACCUUGAAAUACCACCCUUUAAUGUUUGAUGUUCUAACGUUGGCCCCUUACCGGGGUUGCGGACAGUGUCUGGUGGGUAGUUUGACUGGGGCGGUCUCCUCCCAAAGCGUAACGGAGGAGCACGAAGGUUAGCUAAUCCUGGUCGGACAUCAGGAGGUUAGUGCAAUGGCAUAAGCUAGCUUGACUGCGAGCGUGACGGCGCGAGCAGGUGCGAAAGCAGGUCAUAGUGAUCCGGUGGUUCUGAAUGGAAGGGCCAUCGCUCAACGGAUAAAAGGUACUCCGGGGAUAACAGGCUGAUACCGCCCAAGAGUUCAUAUCGACGGCGGUGUUUGGCACCUCGAUGUCGGCUCAUCACAUCCUGGGGCUGAAGUAGGUCCCAAGGGUAUGGCUGUUCGCCAUUUAAAGUGGUACGCGAGCUGGGUUUAGAACGUCGUGAGACAGUUCGGUCCCUAUCUGCCGUGGGCGCUGGAGAAUUGAGGGGGGCUGCUCCUAGUACGAGAGGACCGGAGUGGACGCAUCACUGGUGUUCGGGUUGUCAUGCCAAUGGCACUGCCCGGUAGCUAAAUGCGGAAGAGAUAAGUGCUGAAAGCAUCUAAGCACGAAACUUGCCCCGAGAUGAGUUCUCCCUGAGACUUUAAGUCUCCUGAAGGAACGUUAAAGACGAUGACGUUGAUAGGCCGGGUGUGUAAGCGCAGCGAUGCGUUGAGCUAACCGGUACUAAUGAACCGUGAGGCUUAACCUU